RNAcentral lists this long non-coding RNA (7047 nucleotides) under Prunus persica (peach). RNAcentral describes it as "long non-coding RNA (PPER_LNC004353)". The record is from RNAcentral. Lineage: Eukaryota; Viridiplantae; Streptophyta; Magnoliopsida; Rosales; Rosaceae.
GUAGUUGCACGGCGUAUUCCGACGCACGGAUAUCAGUAGGAGAAGGCUCAGGCUGUGUCAUGUGGACUGGGGACCUUUUGGACAUGAGGCAAUAUGCAGAAGGUGGACAACAUUUCUAUGUGAGAUUGGCCGCUUCUGAACUAGGUACCUUUUGUUAUAAAACAAGAGAGAAAAUGGAGAGAAUUGAGAUAGAGAGAAAACUGAUCUGGGAAAUUGGAGAGAGUCUUUUGCUCUCGCUUCUCUGUAUUAUUUCUCAUACGUUUCUGUCUUCAUAUAUUACAAUAAUUAGAAUGUGGGCUCCACACCCAAUAAUACACUCAAUAAUUUACAACACUCCCCCUUGGAGACCACAAAUGAUAUGGAAUAUGUCUCGUUAAAAACCUUGCCAGUAAAAACCCAGUGGGACAAAAACUGGUCGAAGGGAAAAAGAGUACAUAACCAUGCGUAACAUAAAAUUCUGUGUAUAUGGACAUGUGUGCGAUACUGCCUCAUUAAAACCUUGCCAGGAAAAACCCAGUGGGAUAAAAACCUGGACGAAGGAAAAAGAGUACAGUGUGUAAAGGUCUGUAUUGACAGCACGCUCCCCCUGAUGCUUGGCAAAAUAUCUUGAAGUCAUACUGUUGAUCAUCUUUCUGAAUAUCAUAGUUGACACUGCUUCUGUGAGUCAAUCUUGAGCGACACUGCCUCGUUAAAACCUUACCAGGAAAAACCCAGUGGGAUAAAAACCUGGAUGAAGGAAAAAGAGUACAGUGUGGAGCUGAGCUCUAUCUGGUCUAGUAUACUUCCGGAAAAACAUAUAAGGACCAACGGAUAAGACUCAUAAAAAUGCUUCAAUACUUUCUUAGUAUAAGCAAGAAUCUCGUUGGCAUAAUGCUCGAUCGAGACAAAUAUUUCGUGACUUCUGCAGAAGUUUUAAUGUGUUGCAAACACAUUAUAAUCAAUGUACUCACUGAGGUAAUUUAUGCAUAUUAAUAUUGAGUACAAAUUUUGUGCUUUAAGCACAUGUCCUGUAGGGACUUGCUUUAUGCAACGUCAAUCCUCUCAACGGAUUUUGUUUAAAAGGGAUUAAAUUUUAUGACACAUGAUAUAGCUUUAACCCAGCUAUUUAUACAUCUUUAGGGAAUCACUUCAGGUGAUAUGCUCUGUGCAUUUAAUAACCCUUAAAGAUAACAUGUUGGUCUCCGUAAUUGUGCAGUAAGGGGGGAGGCACAAUUGAAUCUGUAAAUAUGGAAAAAACCCAACAUUCCUUGUUUCUGCCAGAAACAUUGUGUCAUACAAAGUAGGUAUAUUCCCUUUUAUUCCGAACACCCAAGUAUAAAUUUCAAUAUUAACAUCUUUUGGGGUUCGUAUUGUGGGUUUGUGUUUUUUUUUUUUUUCACGUUCAUUCGCAUCUAUAAUGGAAUUACCUCUUUCCAUUUUGGCCAAUGAUAUUGUCGACAUUUAAUAAUUGAACGUGGUUCCAAUCAACACAGCCCAUUGAUGAUUUGAGUAGCUACUCCAAAACCAAAAAUUGUCAUUCAUCAAUUCAUGAUUCCACCAUUCUCAUGUGCAUGCGCAUGCAUCAAUUAUAAGCAUUCCUUUGCUUUUGGGUACCCAAGCCACUUCAUGGGGCUUUUAUUAUGUGAGAAUGUGGAUUAUAACCUCCAUUGGAGCGUUAUUUAGUAGUAGGGCGUGGAUAAUCUCCAUUUAGGGAGUUGGAACAUUUAGAACCCAUAUAUCUGUCAUGCUGCAGGCAUGCCACAGAUUAAUACAUACAUGUCAAUUAAUUUAUGGAGCUUUAACCCAUAUGAUGGGACUUUAACCCAUAUGAUGGGACUUUAACCCAUAUAAUUUGCUACGCAUUCGGCGUGCAUAAUAUCAAUAUUGACAUGUCAAAGGAUUGUCCUUUCGGGACUUCAAUCCACAUCAUUUGCUACGCAACAGGCGUGCAUCAUAUUGAUCACUGCUAUACCCAUAUUCUGUUCUUAUGGGACUUUAAUCUGUGCAGUGUAUUAUCAAUGUAUCCAAUUUACAAUCUGUAAAAUUUUCAUUAAUAAUGCAUGGAUACAUACAAGCCAUUCUUUUGGAACGGACUUAUCUCCCCAUUUGGUUACCUUUCAAGAUAAAAUAUCAAAUAGGUAUAUAAGCAUAAAAUAACAUAAGUAUUGCUUACAUCCUUAGGUGGGAGAAACUUUUCUCAAGCAUCAUUCAAGCUCGUAUUGGCCCAGUAAAUAUAAAGUAUCGCUUGAUGAUCUUGUUAUAUCCUGCAAGAGCAAAAUCACAACUCUUUUCUCUGUCAAAAACAAAUAAUCCUCAGAGAGUUACAGAAAGAGAAAAAAUGCAAAAAUAAUGUGAUAUUGAUUGCAAGAGAAGGUAAGCAAUCAGGGAAGGAAGCUGGUGGGAGCAAAAAAACAAGCUCUCAAUUCUCCUAGUCUAGAAGGACCUCAGGAGAUUAGAGCAUAAGGCCGCAUUCACAAUUCCCUGAUCUUGCAGAAACAUGAUCAGGGAUAGUCUUGCUUCCUGAAUGGAUGAUCAGAGAUAGUCUUGCUUCUCGGGCACAUUAAGUGCUCACUGAUAAGAAAAACAAGUAGAUAUCGCAUUUACUAGAUAUGGAGAUAACUGGAUGUCUUCUGCAAAGAAAAUUUCGUUAGUAAAACAUUUAUACACAAAUACAAUGAAUAGGUAGAACCGGUGAAUUUCAAAUUAACCAUAGUAAAAUUGCGAGAUUCUCGGGAUGCUGUUGAAAAAGUGCGAGAUUCUCGGGAUGCUAUUGAAAAAAUAGCUUCGUGAAAUCCGUAAAGCAAGAUCGGCUUUGAAAAUAAUGCUUGAAAACGCCGAAAGUGCCGACAGGCAUUAUUAGAGGCCACGUGAAGUUUUGGACUCUAGGAAAGAAAAAGAUAAUAUGGGGAUUCGAGAAGAUAUUGGAGUCCUGAAAAACAGUAGCCAUAUUUCCUCCUAUAGAUAUGGCCGUUGCAAAACUUGAUUGGAGCAACUGCGUUUCAACUCAAAUUUUUUUUUCAUUUUCUGAAACUUUAGUUUUCCUAGGACUUUCUCUCUCCCUCAAUUUUCUCUCCAGUUCCUAGGACUUUCUUCGAAACCUUCUCAAAAAUGGCUUCCUCUUCUUCCUGCCCAAAUUAUUUUAAUUUAAAUGAUGCCCCAACAGCAACCAGUGACGCCAAAGUUUGGCGUCCAUCCUUUGUAUCCCAAAAUCGUCAUCUCACAGUUAAUGAUUCUGUGAUGAUGAAUGAUGCUACUGCUGUCAUAGUAGCUAGGAAUUUCAUCACUCCAAUGGAUGAAAUGCUGUUAACAGGGAGGUCUGAGGAAGAGGCUAUUGAUGACUCAAUGGCUUUUAGCAUUCAGAGUGCUGCUUCUGUUUCUAACAUGGCUGAUCGUUUGCGUACUAGAGCAAACGAGGUUGAGAAGCUGACAACUGAAAAUUCGUCUCUUCAAAGAAUGCUUCAUGAGUCUCAACAGGAGGUUGAGAAACUGAAAGGAGAGAAUAAUGCCUUGUUGAAACUGGUGAGUUCGUACUCAGUUGAUACACUGAGAAGGCUAGACAUGCUGCAGGUCUCCAAUGAAAGAAUUUUGGGAGACCACGAGAAGCUCAUGGCUAAGCUUAAGAGGCGCCGUCAUCUUCCUUCAGAGGCUUCCAGAACAUAGUGUAAUUUUAUAGAUUUUACAGGGCCUGCACCUUCAUUGCAGGAAAAAAUCUAUCUGUUGUAUGCCCCUUUUCAGUUAUAAUAAUUGCGCACAUUCUUAAACUUGCACAUGUGGUUUUUACGUCUUUUCAAAAUGACGGUUUGGAACCUUGUGCCUUAUAGGUUCAAAUAACCACAUUGUCUCUCCCAAAUUGCAUAGUAGCCAGGAACUUUUGGCCUGGGCACAAACUCAGAAUUUAUUUGCCCUUUUCAAAUGGACAUGAAAUGUGAAUUAAGUAAAAGCCAUGAUAAUAUCGCAAUAUAGUAGUGAAGAGCAUUAACUACUAUAUACCUACAACUUCAAGUUUAGGAUCUCUCGUAUAUUUGGAUCCAUGGGCUUCCGGCCCAGAUAUAACUAAAUAUGUGGGGAGCCUCAAUUUAUUAUUUGAGGUUAAUAUUAUCCAUUUCGCGGUGUAUUCUUAACAACCGGAAUUCACAAAAUAUAUUUCUUCCUUGAGGUGUCGAUUAUAACAAAAUCGAACUUUAAAUUCAUCAUCUUCUUAUACCAAAUAAAUAUGUGGCGUACCACAAUUUGCAAUAAUACCUCAAGGGUUGUCCAUUUAAUUGUUGGAACUUCAGGUUCUCAACACUGUUAAAUUUUUGAACUUCAGGCCAAAGCCACAUAUUCUCAUGGUAUGGACAUUUUUACAAUAUUCUGUACAUAUUUCGGGACUUCAAGCCCUUACAUAAUUGUCCAUAUUUUGAGGAACUUCUGGCAUCUCAUUUAAUUGCUCAUCCAUGAGUUUAAGGAACUGCAGGUUCCCUUUUGUAUAUAGUGACGGUUUAACCAAAAUGGUUCAUAUUUAUGCAUACGUCACUAUUCAUGUAUACGGCACUAUUCAUGUGUACAGUACAUUUGCCAGUACAGUUAUCAUCCAUGUGUACGGCAUUAUGAACCAAUACGGUACUGUUACAUCAUCAAGGAACCCCAGGUCCUUAUUUACAUGUCAAGGAUCAAGGACCCUCAAGUCCAAUCCGAUCAGGGCUAACAGACCCCACCAUAGAUUAUUCCCUAUAGGAUUAGAAAUAAAUGAACCAGAAAGUGCAAUCCAAUCAAAAUAUCAUAUCAAUACCAAAAGAGAAAUUUCAGGCAUAUGCCUAUAUAUUAUGAUGAAAACAAAAGCCCAAAAGCAAAAAGAAAUAAUAAGUAUUCUUGCUAUAUCAUAUUGCAUCUAACAAAAACAAGCGGGCAAAUUCAUCAUGAAUAUUAUGGUUUGUGUUUUUUUUUUUUUUUUUUUUUUUUUUUUUAUACAUAACAACAUCCUAGCAUUAUUGAUCAUGCGGUAAAUUAUAACUGUAUCUUUCAAACCACAGUUCCACUAGGAAGUGUCAAUCAAUAUUUUAAAAACAUUUAUUUCCUUUAUGAAAUCAGAUUAUUUAACUUGACAAAAUACUCCCGCAAUGCAUGGUUUACAAAUACUGGUGAUUUGAGCAAUCUAAACUGGUCAAGAGUAUUUUAAUAAUGUAAUUAAUUAAAGGAGAUAGGGUACUUAUCCCUUUAUUUCGGUGGGUGUUCACAUGCUUUCCACUAGGCUGAUCAACUUGCUGUAUCCUACAAGGCUCGAUCUCCAGUGCCUUGCAUCAAAUCAACACCGACCUGUUAACAACUUUUAGUGGCUUACCUCCAUUUUAGAAAAAUGUUUCUUCACUGCUUUUUGACUAUACUUCCUCCAUUGAUAUCCAUCAUCAAGGAUAUCAACUUGGCUCCUCGUUUGAAAAGCACCUUUUUUUUUUUUUUUUUUUUUUUUUUUUUUUUGAGAAAAACCGCAUCAGCGACCUCUUGAUGAUCAUGGGCAUCAUGAUCAUCAUGAUCUGCGGCGUCGUCAACCUCCACCCCAGCCAGCAGCGGCUCUGUAGACUCCAACGCAGCUCUCCAGCCGCUCUGAGUCGGAUGAUCUCCUCCUCCUCCAAGAGAAGAGCAACCAGGACCUCCAUUGAGCCAUCCGAAGGUAGAGUAGCCGGACCCCCACAUCUAUGCCCGAGACGACUGCCCGGUCUCCGUCUGCGGCUACCCGGGCUUCAACCUGACCAAACCAGAGCUCAGCCAUGAUCGAGGCGGCCUGGGGUUCGGAGAAGACUCCGAGAGUGACUCGGCGGUAGAGAUCAGGCGCAUCGCAGAGGUCGAGAACCAUGUGGAGGUUGAGAAACUUCGGCAUCGGCACAGACAGCUGCUGCUCCAGCAGUGGUAAGUCCAUCAGUGGCCAAUGGAGCCAUCAUCUGCUGUUGAAUUGUAGUUGCAGAUAAGUUCUUGGCUGGUGUUGCUUAAGAGUCCGCAAAUUCCACCUUGGAUCUCACAGGCACUGCAAGCAGGUUUUGAUACACAGCAGCAACAAAGGAGAGCCUGCAAGGCAGAGACUUAGAAGCUUUUGAGGGAGGCAAAGGUCUUCUGGAUCUGGCGGCCACAGGGGUUGGGAUGAUGAGGUGAGGCUGCUGUUGGCUUUCAAAGAAUCCUCUGUUCAAUCUGAUCCCCAUGGUUUCUUGUCUGAUUGGAAAGCUACCUGCAUAAACAGCUCCUCUUCCUGCGAAUGGGCGGUGGGAAGGGAGGAUGCUGCCCCUGGUGAUGAUAAUCAGCUGGAUCGCCUCUGUCCGUUUUUGAAACUCCAGUUGGUACCAAGGGUGCCUCAGCUGCUGCUGGCGGUGCCUCUACAUCUAUUGGGUUUUCUGGAAAUAGAAAUGAAAAUGAGAAUUUGGGCAUCAUUGAAUCUGUUGUUUGAGUCUCAAUCAAACCCAAGAAAGAAAAGCGAUGAAGCAGAGUGUUUUGAUCGAAUUUCCCAGCUGGUAUUUUAGAGAUAAUUCGUGCUGAUAACGUGUUAUAAAACAAGAGAGAAAAUGGAGAGAAUUGAGAUAGAGAGAAAACUGAUCUGGGAAAUUGGAGAGAGUCUUUUGCUCUCGCUUCUCUGUAUUAUUUCUCAUACGUUUCUGUCUUCAUAUAUUACAAUAAUUAGAAUGUGGGCUCCACACCCAAUAAUACACUCAAUAAUUUACAACACCUUUCCCUUUUUCUUUAUUUUUCAUAGUGGUAUCAUUGUUAGGAAAUUAUGCUUUUUAGUCCGUGUCACUGACGUAAUUAAUUAGAUCAAAUCCAUAUUUUCAGUUUCAGAAAAAGACUAUUUUUAAACCAAUACCAAUUGCACCCACCUCUACCUCUAAGAACACAAAGCCUCAUGCGUGUAUCGUUUUGUUUUAUGUAAGCGAUAUUGUGAGAGCGAAAUUUGUACACAAAAUUAUAAGAUAAUUAUUUUUAAAUAUCAUUUAAGUUACAAGUCUCUUAUCAUGCAUGCAUCGUUUUGUAGUUGUGUACCAUUUUUGGGGGUAAUUAAAGCUUAUUUCCAGUGUGCUAGGAUAUCAUAUUAUUAAACGACCAAACCCC